AAUCAACGCUGGCGGCGUGCCUCAGACAUGCAAGUCGAACGAUUAAACUUUCCUUCGGGAAAGAUAUAAAGUGGCGCACGGGUGAGUAACACGUAAGUAAUCUACCUUCGAGUGGGGAAUAACGUCCGGAACGGACGCUAAUACCGCAUAAUGCAGCGGCACCUUAUGGUGACAGUUGUUAAAGGAGCAAUUCGCUUGAAGAGGAGCUUGCGGCAGA
Molecule: ribosomal RNA, 217 nt
Filed under: uncultured bacterium
Lineage: Bacteria
Description: partial 16S ribosomal RNA
Rfam family: Bacterial small subunit ribosomal RNA
Source: RNAcentral